Molecule: long non-coding RNA, 291 nt
Organism: Sinocyclocheilus anshuiensis
Lineage: Eukaryota; Metazoa; Chordata; Actinopteri; Cypriniformes; Cyprinidae
Exons: 3
Source: RefSeq, a predicted model, not a curated record
UAAAUGGACGAAAGCCUUUCUUCUAUUAAAACACCAGGCUGGAUGAAGACCUCCCACUUUCCAAGUCAGACAUGAUGAUGGGGAUACAGCGGACCAAGCACAGAUGGAAGAUAAAGACCCCAACCGAAGACCCCAAACAUUGUUGUAGAGAAUGAUGGGCGUACCAUCUCACUGCAAGUACUGGAAUUUAAAACAAGUCUCCUGGAGGCAGUUGAAGAGUUGCAUAUUCACAAGGGCCGGGGUUAAGAUGGAGGAUUUCCUGCCAGACAAACGCGCUCAGCUGAAUGCCGU